Molecule: long non-coding RNA, 2576 nt
Organism: Oncorhynchus tshawytscha (Chinook salmon)
Lineage: Eukaryota; Metazoa; Chordata; Actinopteri; Salmoniformes; Salmonidae
Source: Ensembl
CUCUGUCUCCUCCCCAGACUCUCUGUCACCUCCCCAGACUCUCUACUCUCUGUCUCCUCCCCAGACUCUCUGUCUCCUCCCCAGACUCUCUGUCUCCUCCCCAGACUCUCUGUCUCCUCCCCAGACUCUCUGUCUCCUCCCCAGACUCUCUGUCUCCUCCCCAGACUCUCCGUCUCCUCCCCAGACUCUCCGUCUCCUCCCCAGACUCUCCGUCUCCUCCCCAGACUCUCCGUCUCCUCCCCAGACUCUCCGUCUCCUCCCCCCAGACUCUCCGUCUCCUCCCCAGACACCGGCCCCUCCGUCUCCUCCCCAGCCACCGUCUCCUCCCCAGCCACCGACCUCUCCGUCUCCUCCCCAGCCUCUCCGUCUCCUCCCCAGCCUCCGUCUCCUCCCCAGCCACCGGCCCCUCCGUCUCCUCCCCAGCCUCUCCGUCUCCUCCCCAGCCUCUCCGUCUCCUCCCCAGCCACCGACCCCUCCGUCUCCUCUCUAUCCACCAGAGAGAAGGAGUCUUAUGCCACCAUGCUCUGAUAGUAGGGUCACUUUAACUGGGUCAUUCUCGGUGGGGUGGGGAGAGGAGUGUAGGGCGACCUGGACAUGCAUUAAUGGACAUGACGUCGGCUUCCACAUUGUGUGUGUAUUAUAUACUGAACAAAAAUAUAAAUGCAACAUGAUUUUUCUGAAUAACAGUUCAUAUGAGGAAAUCAGUGAAUUGAAAUAAAUUCAUUAGGCCCUAAUCUAUUGAUUUCACAUGACUGGGAAUACAGAUAUGCAUCUAUUGGUCACAGAUACCUCAGGAGCUUGUCACAGUAUUUCUCUACAUUCAAAUUGGCAUCGAUAAAAUGCAAUUUUGUUUGUUGUCCGUAAACUUACACCUGCCCAUACCAUAACCCCACCGCCACCAUGGGGCAAACCACUUGCCCACACGACGCCAUACAUGGGGUCUGCACGUUUUAGAGUGGAUUUGUAUUGUCCCCCAGCACAAGGUACACCUGUGUAAUGAUCAUGCUAUUUAAUCAGCUUCUUCAUAUGCCACACCUGUCAGGUGGAUGGAUUAUCUUGGCAAAGGAGAAAUGCUCAGUAACAGGGAUGUAGACAGAUUAGUGAACAAAAUUUGAGAGAAAUACGCGUCUUUUUUUUUUUUUUGGCGCAUGGAAAAUGUCUGGGAUCUUCUCUUUUAGCUCAUGAAACAUGGGACCAACAUUUUACAUGUUGCCUUUAAAAAAAAAAAUUGUUAAGUAUAUAUUGUACGAGUUUAGACUGUGUAGAGACCAUAACUAACAAUCACAUUUCGUUAACACUGGGUCACCUGUCCAUCAGUGGCUCGAUCAACUUCACUUUUACAUUUUAGAGAAGUGGUGGGUCUGAUAUUCUUCCUGAGUUCUGAGCCAUGUUCUACCAUUCAGUUUGGACCAUGAUUUGACCGCUGUAGGUGUUUCGACACGGUGCCCUCCUCGGGCAGCGACAAGAUAUCUGUGUUGCGACUUGCCACGGUUCGUAGGUCCACAGCUGCCAUGUCAACAGGUUAUCUUAUACAGAAACACACACCAAAGCUUCAAAAGAACGUUGACUAGUUUAUCGUUGUGUACUGUAGACCGUGUGAACCAUUGCCUCCCUAACCAUGUACUGAUAAAAGGCACAUGGUAUUCUGCUUAUGGACUAAACACUUGCGCUGCUUACAGAUUUUUGGUUUUCUUUGUUGCGUUUUUCCUAGGAUUUUUGUUUGUAGUUUUCAUAAGACUAGUGAAAUAUGAGAAGCAUGUGACUAGAUAGAAAGGGAGCAGUGGACCACACUAUGAAAGAUGUGUGUUUUAAUGAAGGGUAAACACUGAUUACACCUAGACCUACCCAGACUGUUACCGUGGAUACGGUAUAGCAGGGUUCUGACACUGAUUACACCUAGACCUACCUAGACUGUUACCGUGGAUACGGUAUAGCAGGGUUCUGACACUGAUUACACCUAGACCUACCUAGACUGUUACCGUGGAUACGGUAAAGCAGGGUUCUGACACUGAUUUACACCUAGACCUACCCAUACUGUUACCGUGGAUACAGUAUAGCAGGGAUCUGACACUGAUUACACCUAGACCUACCUAGACUGUUACCGUGGAUACAGUAUAGCAGGGAUCUGACACUGAUUACACCUAGACCUACCUAGACUGUUACCGUGGAUACAGUAUAGCAGGGUUCUGACACUGAUUACACCUAGACCUACCCAUACUGUUACCGUGGAUACAGUAUAGCAGGGUUCUGACACUGAUUACACCUAGACCUAGCUAGACUGUUACCGUGGAUACGGUAUAGCAGGGUUCUGACACUGAUUAGACCUAGCUAGACUGUUACCGUGGAUACAGUAUAGCAGGGUUCUGACACUGACACUGAUUACACCUAGACCUAGCUAGACUGUUACCGUGGAUACGGUAUAGCAGGGUUCUGACACUGAUUAGACCUAGCUAGACUGUUACCGUGGAUACGGAAUAGCAGGGUUCUGACACUGAUUACACCUAGACCUACCUAGACUGUUACCGUGGAUACGGAAUAGCAGGGUUCUGACACUGAUUACACCUAGACCUACCUAG